AGUCGAGCGCGGGCAGCAAUGCCCGAGCGGCGAACGGGUGAGUAACGCGUGAACAAUCCGCCCAAAAGUGGGGGAUAACCAUCCCAACGGAUGGCUAAUACCGCAUAGGGUACGGGAAGGGCAUCCUUCCCCUACGAAAGCAUUCAUGCGCUUUUGGAUGAGUUCGCGUCCCAUUAGCUAGUUGGCGGGGUAACGGCCCACCAAGGCGACGAUGGGUAGCCGGCCUGAGAGGGUGUCCGGCCACAUUGGGACUGAGAUACGGCCCAGACUCCUACGGGAGGCAGCAGUAGGGAAUUUUGCGCAAUGGGGGAAACCCUGACGCAGCAACGCCAUGUGUGGGAUGAAGCAUUUCGGUGUGUAAACCACUGUCGGCAGGGAAUAAAGCCCGCGCACGUCGCGGGGGUGAAUGUACCUGCAGAGGAAGCCCCGGCUAACUUCGUGCCAGCAGCCGCGGUAAUACGAGGGGGGCAAGUGUUGUUCGGAAUCACUGGGCGUAAAGGGAGCGUAGGCGGACUCUUAAGUUGGAUGUUUAAAACCGGGGCCCAACCCCGGCGCGGCAUCCAAAACUGGGAGUCUUGAAUGGAAGAGAGGCCGGUGGAAUUGGAGGUGUAGCGGUGGAAUGCGUAGAGAUCUCCAAGAACACCCGUUGCGAAGGCGGCCGGCUGGCUUCACAUUGACGCUGAGGCUCGAAAGCGUGGGGAGCAAACAGGAUUAGAUACCCU
RNAcentral lists this ribosomal RNA (722 nucleotides) under uncultured bacterium. RNAcentral describes it as "bacterial SSU rRNA". It matches the Rfam family "Bacterial small subunit ribosomal RNA", at positions 60 to 788 of the family's 1533-position model. The record is from RNAcentral.